RNAcentral lists this unclassified non-coding RNA (253 nucleotides) under uncultured Acidobacteriota bacterium. RNAcentral describes it as "uncultured Acidobacteria bacterium contains 16S-23S intergenic spacer region". It matches the Rfam family "Bacterial small subunit ribosomal RNA", at positions 524 to 776 of the family's 1533-position model. Lineage: Bacteria; Pseudomonadati; Acidobacteriota. The record is from RNAcentral.
UACGGGGGGGGCAAGCGUUGUUCGGAAUUACUGGGCGUAAAGGGUUCGUAGGUGGCUGGUUAAGUCAGACGUGAAAUCCCUCAGCUCAACUGGGGAACUGCGUCUGAGACUGAUCAGCUUGAGUGCAGGAGAGGAACGCGGAAUUCCAGGUGUAGCGGUGAAAUGCGUAGAUAUCUGGAGGAACACCGGUGGCGAAGGCGGCGUUCUGGACUGCAACUGACACUGAGGAACGAAAGCCAGGGGAGCAAACGGG